This 683-nucleotide ribosomal RNA is filed under the name Rhantus signatus kuscheli. Its description in RNAcentral is "SSU rRNA". It matches the Rfam family "Eukaryotic small subunit ribosomal RNA", at positions 50 to 709 of the family's 1831-position model. Lineage: Eukaryota; Metazoa; Arthropoda; Insecta; Coleoptera; Dytiscidae. The record is from RNAcentral.
CCUGCAUGUCUCAGUACAAGCACAUUAAGGUGAAACCGCGAAAGGCUCAUUAAAUCAGUUAUGGUUCCUUAGAUCGUACCCACAUUUACUUGGAUAACUGUGGUAAUUCUAGAGCUAAUACAUGCAAACAGAGUUCCGACCGGAGACGGGAGGAAUGCUUUUAUUAGAUCAAAACCAAUCGGCGGCGGGCCUCGGUCCGUUCGCCGCUCAACUUGGUGACUCUGAAUAACUUUCGGCUGAUCGCACGGUCUCGCACCGGCGACGCAUCUUUCAAAUGUCUGCCUUAUCAACUGUCGAUGGUAGGUUCUGCGCCUACCAUGGUCGUAACGGGUAACGGGGAAUCAGGGUUCGAUUCCGGAGAGGGAGCCUGAGAAACGGCUACCACAUCCAAGGAAGGCAGCAGGCGCGCAAAUUACCCACUCCCGGCACGGGGAGGUAGUGACGAAAAAUAACGAUACGGGACUCAUCCGAGGCCCCGUAAUCGGAAUGAGUACACUUUAAAUCCUUUAACGAGGAUCAAUUGGAGGGCAAGUCUGGUGCCAGCAGCCGCGGUAAUUCCAGCUCCAAUAGCGUAUAUUAAAGUUGUUGCGGUUAAAAAGCUCGUAGUUGAAUCUGUGUCUCGCGCUGUCGGUUCACCGCCCGCGGUGUUAAACUGGCACGCCCGCGAGACGUCCUGCCGGGUG